AUGAGGUUGUUAAGUUGGACGACGAAGUUGCUUUUGAAAAAUCUAGACGAAGAGGAUCAAAGAAAGGUGGACCGAGUGUGGGACGUGAAGAUCGUUCCUUCACCCCGGGAGGCAUUUCCCCGGGAGGCAUUUCCCCGGAAGGCAUUUCCUUCACAGCCAUGUCGACUGAUGCAGCUGCAUUGAAGACUUAUGUGAGGAAGGGUUCACGACCGCGGUUCAAGAGCAAAGCUCUUAAAACUCCUUUUACUGGAACUCUAAGAAUAAAACAUGUGUGACCUUAUGAUAUGUUGAACGAUUUUAAACUUUCCUUGUUGUUGAGAUAUGUUGUAUUGUUGAAACAUUUGUUUAGUAAUUUGAAUUUGUAAUGAAUGUUAUAUUGAACUUCAAUUUUGUGACAUGGUAUUGAAGUGAAAUGAAUGAGUUAUGUCAUUGCCGUUGGGAAAUAAUGUUUCGAUACACUUGUUAAAUAUUAUAGUUGACAAAUAUUGUUAUUGAUGUUGGACUUAAUGGAUGAAAGAAACAAUGCAUGUGGACAUUGGCAACAUUCUUAGUUGGCAACACUGCCCUGUAAAGGGUUACAAUGGCCUCUUUUCACUUAAGCUGAUCAAGUGACUAACAAGGACACAUUCCAUGAACCUUGGGUGCCCAACCAUGACCUCCAAAACUCCUAACACACUUUACCAACCAUUCCCAAUAACAAAGAAUGUCGUCAUGUGAAAAAAUUAAAAAAAAAAAAACAAAGUUGGUCCACUGUGUUCAAAAAAGUGGAUCCGUGUGAAGAUCUUUCUGUACAAAAUCACCAAAACUCUCGUGUAAGCGUUUACACUGUCCUCUAAACGUUUACAAUGGCCUCCUUUAACUUAAGCUCCUCAUGUGACUAACAAGGACACAUUCCAUGAACCUUAGGUGCCCAACCAUGACCUCCAACACUCCUAACACACUUUACCAACCAUUCCCAAUAAUAAAGAAUGUCCUCAUGUGAAAAAAUUAAAAAAAAAACAAAGUUGGUCCCCUGUGUUAAAAAAAGUGGAUCCCUGUGAAGAACUUUCUGUACAAAAUCACAAAAACUCUCGUGUAAACUUUUACACUGCCCUGUAAACGUUUACAAUGGCCUCCUUUAACAUAAGCUCCUUAAGUGACUAACAAGGACACAUUCCAUGAACCUUGGGUGCCCAACCAUGACCUCCAACACUCCUAACACACUUUACCAACCAUUCCCAAUAACAAAGAAUGUCCUCAUGUGAAAAAAUUAAAAAAAACAAAGUUGGUCCCCUGUGUUCAAAAAAGUGGAUCCCUGUGAAGAACUUUCUGUACAAAAUCACAAAAACUCUCGUGUAAACGUUUACACUACCCUGUAAACGUUUACAAUGGCCUCUUUUAACUUAAGCUCCUCAAGUGACUAACAAGGACACAUUCCAUGAACCUUAGGUGCCCAACCAUGACGUCUAACACUCCUAACACACUUUACCAACCAUCCCCAAUAACAAAGAAUGUCCUCAUGUGAAAAAAUUAAAAAAAACAAAGUCGGUCCCCUGUGUUCAAAAAAGUGGAUCCCUGUGAAGAACUUUCUGUACAAAAUCACCAAAACUCUCAUGUAAACGUUUACACUUCCCUGUAAACGUUUACAAUGGCCUCUUUUCACUUAAGUUACUCAAGUGACUAACAAGGACAUAGUCCAUGAACCUUGGGUGCCCAACCAUGACCUCCAACACUCCUAACACACUUUACCAACCAUUCCCAAUAACAAAGAAUAUCCUCAUGUGAAAAAAUUAAAAAAAACAAAGUUGGUCCCCUGUGUUCGAAAAAGUGGAUCCCUGUGAAGAACUUUCUGUACAAAAUCACAAAAACUCUCGUGUAAACGUUUACACUGCCCUGUAAACGUUUACAAUGGCCUCUUUUAAUUUAAGCUCCUCAAGUGACUAACAAGGACACAUUCCAUGAACCUUGGGUGCCCAACCAUGACCUCC
Molecule: long non-coding RNA, 1967 nt
Filed under: Vigna radiata
Lineage: Eukaryota; Viridiplantae; Streptophyta; Magnoliopsida; Fabales; Fabaceae
Description: long non-coding RNA (VRAD_LNC003431)
Source: RNAcentral